Podarcis lilfordi (Lilford's wall lizard) is the source of this 5973-nucleotide non-coding RNA. Lineage: Eukaryota; Metazoa; Chordata; Lepidosauria; Squamata; Lacertidae. The record is from the annotation of a GenBank genome assembly.
UCUCUGGCUUGAUGGGUUGUGCAAAAGCAUCAUUGAAACCGAAGAGGAAGCUUGCAGGCAGGAGUGACACCCCUGGCGAGGUUGCAAAUAAGAAGGCAAAUGUGCCUGGAAUUUUGGGGUUGGUGGGGCAGCUCCCCAUUUGCCCUGUAGGGCAGGUCUGUAAGUGGAGAACGGGGCCCCCUGACAUCUGAAGACCUCUUUCCUUCUGUUUUGCAUUCUCACUCUAAAGCGCACCAUUAAUCUGGCUUUCAAGCUGGCAACGCCAGGCAGGUAUUUUAAUUAAAAUAUAUUUUUAAAGGCUAAUAGUGGCUUAUGUUAUCUAUUAUGCUGAUGGAUUACGAUGAUCCUGUCGCGGGGAGCAGGCUCCUUAAAGCCGACGACGGCUGCCUCCUUAUUUUCUACGUAUCGCUUCCCGAGCGGAAUCUGUGAUACUUUUGCAGAAGCACAAAGAGCUCACCGACGACGACGGACGCAUGAGGGGGAGAAGGGAAAUUGAGUCUGGGCCAGCUCCCUAGCAGAAGCGACCGUGGUCUGGCCUUCAAAGUGGGCCAUAAUGUAUGCCACAUGAAAAAUAGCACUUAGCCAGCAAAAUCAUGACUCGCUUCUUAAUGAGACGGGAGGAAUUCUCUUUGUUCGGCCUGGUUUUCUUCGUGAGGCCGCUCUUCUCGCUGCCUGGCAGUUCACCAGCCCUGCUCACGAGGAAUACAACGCAUGGAAGUAACCAAAGGAGUAAUAGUACAAUGGUACCUCUGGUUGCGUACUUAAUUCAUUCUGGAGGUCCGUUCUUAACCUGAAACUGUUCUUAACCUGAAGCACCACUUUAGCUAAUGGGGCCUCCCGCUGCUGCCGCGCAAUUUCUGUUCUCAUCCUGAAGCAAAGUUCUUAACCUGAGGUAUUAUUUCUCGGUUAGCGGAGUCUGUAACCUGAAGCGUAUGUAACCCGAGGUACCAGUGUACGUGGAACAGCAACGGAGCAAGAGCGUGUGGGCACACCUGUGGAAAGAGCUCGCCCUCGCAGCCUCUGCCUUUCCCCACCCUUCCCUCUAUCCUCUUAUCUCUUCCCUACCCUGCUGACACACACACACAUCACAACAUAAUACAGUGGUACCUCGGGUUAAGUACUUAAUUCGUUCCAGAGGUCCGUUCUUAACCUGAAACUGUUCUUAACCUGAAGCACCACUUUAGCUAAUGGGGCCUCCUGCUGCCGCAGCGCCGCCAGAGCACGAUUUCUGUUCUCAUCCUGAAGCAAAGUUCUUAACCCGAGGUAAUAUUUCCGGGUUAGCAGAGUCUGUAACCUGAAGCGUAUGUAACCUGAAGCGUAUGUAACCCGAGGUACCACUGUACGAGCCCUCUGGAUCAGGCCAAUGGCCCCUCUGGUCCAGCAACCUGUUCUCACACUGUCCAACCAGAUCCCUGUGGGAAACCCGCAAGCAGGAUUCGAGCACAAGAGCCCUCUGCCCUCCCAUGGAAGCAGGGCGUAGCCAUUGUGGCUAGUUGCCCUCGAUAGCCCUCUCCUGCCCGAAUUUGUCCAGUCAUCUUUUAAAGUCAUCUAGGUUUGGUGGCCAUCUCUGCCUCUCCUGUAGGAGGGAGUUCCAUAGUUCAACUAGGCGCUGCACAAAGAAGUCCUUGCAUUUAUCUGCCCCGAAUCAUCUAACAUUCAGCUUCAUUGGAUGUCCAUGAAUGUUCCGAGACAGGGAGAAAAAACAUUCUUCUGUCAACUUUCUCCAUGUCGUGCAUAAUUUUGCCUUCCUGCAUUGUCAACACAUUUUAAACUGUAAGCUCCUGCAGGCAAAGCCUUGCCUUCCUGUUUGUGUCAUCCUGCAGAGAACAAUAUGAAUUGGUGGCUCUAUCCAAAUCAAGUGGGAGGCUUUGCUCAGAGGGUGGGGUGGGGCCGGGCCCUACUAUUAGGCAGAGUGAGCUGGCUGCCUCAGGUGGCAGAGUCUAGGAAGCGGCUGUGAGGGGUUGGAGACCAGAGGUGUCUGUGCCACACAAGGACUGAACCUUGACCUCCUGAACUAGCCUGCUGCUCUCAGGUGCAAUGGGAGAUUUAUUUAUUUCUUUAUCCAGUUUAUGCGCCUCCCUCCCUCCAAAAGGAGUCCAGGGUGGGACCAUCUCCAGCAGUGAUUCAACAGCUAGUCUAGUCAGCUUCUGAACAUGGAAAGGUGAGGGACGCCAUCUUGGUUUUUGCGGGAGCCCCCAAAGAGGGCACAGAUUCAUAUAACAUUUCCCUGGGCUGAUUUAUAUGCAUAGAUGCAUGUUCAGAAAGCUUGGGUGAAAUUCAGUAUGGCAUCAUGGAAUCAUUCCAUCAAUUUCUGCUUGCCAAACAGAAUGAUCUCCCCUGCGUGCUGUUCUGGGGGUUCUCCUGGCACUCCAGAGCAGUAUUGGGGGGUUGUGAAUGAGGGGAGCAGGGGGAAUCCCUGUUGCAUUAGCAGCAUCCAUGCUCUGGCUUCUGAUGGUGUGCCGGAUUAGUUGAAUCUAGCCCUAUUACUAUAAACAAACAAAUAAAUAAAAUACACUGCAUCUCACCAAAGUGGGGGUGCCUGCGACCCACUUAGCUGUUUGCCAGCCCUUACUCUCUUUUCUUAGGGUUCUUUUUGCUGAAACAGGACGUGGGACCAGGCAGCCCUACAAACAGAGGUCCUCUGCAAAGAUGGCCACCCUACCUCAAGCUGCAAAAUACAUUAGGGCAGUCCUCUCCUCUAAGGAACGCGGUAAGCACUGCAAACUUCUCAUGAUCAGGGUGAGGGGCAGAGAGCUCAAUGGAGCUAUGCAAGAUGUCUGGGGUGUCUGCUGGUGUGGUUUAAGCUGUGAGCCUCCACCCACGCUCAGCCCAUAAACUUGUAAAUAAAUGCAAAUAUUGCCAGAGAUUAGCCAGUCUGCAGUGAGUGCAUUCUGCAAGAAACUGAACCCUGGUAAUACAGCACUGGAAUCCCUGGGCCAUUGCUUGCUGGGGGUCUUGAGCCAUGCAUCGUGAUAGAUCAAUAAAACCCAAGGUUCCUGCACACAGAAAGUUACCCCAUAGGCCACAGAACUUGGAGGCGCAGUCGUAGAAGCCCAGGUUUGGGGGGGGGGGAUUUGUUUUGUUCUCUUUCUACCCGCUUUCCGGAAAACCAAGUCCUUUGGGGCCUGAUUCACUGGCUGUUCAUCCAGACACUAUGAAAUGAACCUGUGCCGACAGGCCUUUUUCUUACGGCAUCCUGAAGUCACCUUUUUAUUGUUCCCCAUCGCUUGUUUGUUGUGGUUACUCAUUUCAUGAGCGGCAAGGCUGUGAUAACUGAGAAUGUAUGACGCACAAACGUUGCCUCCCGAAGAAACCUAAUCGUUGCCACCCAUCCAGUAGGCAGCGUUUUGUAAGGCAGUUUUUAUCGUAGAUACAAGGGAUUCAUCUCUUUAUGUAGGCCAUAUCAUCAAAAGCAUUUUUUCCUCCUUGCUUUCCCUGAUCUUCCUCUGCUACUGUUCCCCAAACCGUUCCAUUUAUAAGUAUUUUUAAAACCACCUAAUAUUUUAAUACCUCCAAAUCACCAUCAUCCAUUAAUAGCCCUAUUUACAGUUGACGCAUUGAAAUUAAUAGACAUGGCUAGUUUACAUCCAUUAAUUUCAGUGAGAUGCAACAUAUUAUUAUUUUGUUUAUUUAUUUAUUUAUGUUUGUUUGUUUGUUUCCAACAUGAGGUCCUGGGGCAAUUUAAGAACACAGUAUUAAAAACAGUUUAAAACAAAUUACUGUUACAAGAAGAGGCAGAGGGCCAUAAAAACAGCCUGCAGACAAAAAAACCAGCAAAACGUUAUUAUAAACACAGAGAUUCGGUAGUAGCAAGGUCUGAUCUUAUGGGUCAUGGAGCCUGCACAAAAAGGGAUGUCUUUACAAGACCUCUGAAACAACUGAUGGAUGAUGUUUCACAGAAGGCAGAGGGAACAGCAUCCUAGAAUGCCACCCAGGCAACAGCAGAAAACAUCCAUUUUCAGGGCACUACCCUGAUGUUUAUAAAAAUAUCUGUAUACUGUUGCGUCAUUAAAAAUAUAUAUCAAACUGGUUUACAGCAAUAAAAACUUAAAACCGUACAAUACAAAUUCAUAUUAAAAGGCUAAGAGCAGACAUCAGUUAACCACUGUGGGCGAUGCGUUCUUAAUUGCCUGGCAGAACAGUAAAGUUUUCAGCGGGUGUUUAAAUGCGGGUCCUUGCUGAAUCUCUAGUGGCAGAGAGUUCCAUAGGGCUGGGCCAAUGACAUCAAAGGCUUGGUUCCUUUUCGUUGUCAAAUGAGCCUUGCUAACUCAGAGGACGCCCAGCGACGCUCUUGCAGAUUAUCUCAAUGCUCGAGCGACGAUAGAAGGGUUCAAGCGAUCCGUGAGGUUCCGCGGAACCACAUUGUGAAUUAAUUCAAGAAGCUUGAACCUGGCUCAGCAGCAAGUGGGCUUUGUAAAGGUAUAGAGUGCUAUGAGCAAAAAUUCCCCCCAGAGAUGAUCUAAGUCCAUCAGGGAACAACAGUGUCACAUCAGGGCCACCCCAUUCCUGGGACAGAUGCUGAGAAGAAUGACUACCUGAGGAUUUUGUGGCCAGACGCCAACCCCCUCUGUAGUUCAGGCCACAAAUCCACCAGUUACAUAGACCCCAUUCCUGUGGUCUUGUGGGGCCACAAGAAUCUGCCUUAUCCUGAGUCAUAGGUUGGUUGAUUUGACUCAGGGUUGCCUACAGGAACUUCAGCAUCUCUCCAGGGGUUCAGGCAAGGGACCAUCCUAGCCCUACCUGGAGAUGUUGCCGGUGAUUGAACCUAGGACUUUAUACAUGUGCAGCAGAUUCUCUGCCACUGAGCUAUACAGCUAUACAGCUAUACAGAAAGAGAGACUGAGGAUCUGGCAAGGAGGACGUUUUUCAUAUCUCCAGGCUGAAGGUUGUCCCUGGCGGGGUGGAACUCCUUUGUAAUAAAUGUAAAUCUGUCCUUAUUCCCUUAUGGGGGACACAAGAGCCCUUAUAGAGUCCUUUGCAGAUUCUCCAUUGGUCGGAGAAAAUAACAGAGGCUAACCAGAGAAUACUGAGAAGCAAAGCAGCUAGUAAGCCUGAUCUUUAUUGAACUGUUGCAACAGGGUGCAACAGGGUGUGUCCAUCCUUAUAUAGACAUUUUAAAUUGCCCAUCUUAGAGUCCAAGACCACCCCCAGAAACAUCAUACCUACAUCACAGAAGGGGUGUAGCUCAAGACCCCCCCCCCAGAUACAUCAUACCUACAUCACAGAAAAGGCGGUCUACAACCUCCUGUCUGGCAGGUUACCUGUUAACGCUUACUUGAUUGGAUACCCUGGGGAGCCUGGCCAGUCUUUUGUAAUUACAAAUACUUAGCUUCUGAGCCAGGUCACAGGCUCACCCUAUUCAUACACAGACAUACCCUUAAGACAGGAUUUGUGAACAAAAAGACAAUGGGGAGGCUCCCCCACCUCCUCCCUCCUUGCAGAGGAAACAUUUGAAAAUGGUUUCAGGGUGGUCCUCCUGUGCUGCUCCAGACAUGUGGUCCACGCAUCUAUGUAUGCGCUUGGUUGGUACAAUUAUGAACAUUUAUUAUGUAUAUAUAAGACCUUAAUUUUUUUAUUUCACCUUCCACAAAGGAGCUUUUCUCCAAGGGAAAACAAGGCCCUAUUGUUGUUGUUGUUGUUCUCCAGCAAUGCAAAGGUCCUCAAAAGACAGCACCUGAGCUCAGCCAGAGUGCACAACACCUUCUCUAGCACCCGCUCCCCGUUGCUGCAACAUCUGCUUUGAAACCGCUUGCGUUAAAAAAUAUAAGCCGUGUGUGUGUGUGUGUGUUGUGUGCAGGCUGAGUGCUUUGCAGCUCAGCACUUCCAAUUAUGAAAGAAGCUUCUGCCUCAGGGUCUUCAGGAACAAUUCACUACUAGAUAUCUGGGCUCCAAGUCAAGAACACCAGUCAGAGCAGCAGCAACAGCAGCAGCAGCAGCAGGGGAUAUAGCAGGACACAGAAACAAACCAGGAAG